GCCCCUGUAGCUUAGUGGUAAAGCACCGCUCUCAUAAGGCGGGGAUCGUGGGUUCGAAUCCCACCAGGGGCA
RNAcentral lists this transfer RNA (72 nucleotides) under Candidatus Parcubacteria bacterium. RNAcentral describes it as "tRNA-Met". It matches the Rfam family "tRNA". Rfam says of the family: Transfer RNA (tRNA) molecules are approximately 80 nucleotides in length. Their secondary structure includes four short double-helical elements and three loops (D, anti-codon, and T loops). The record is from RNAcentral. Lineage: Bacteria; Candidatus Parcubacteria.